This is a long non-coding RNA of Triticum aestivum (bread wheat), 2064 nucleotides long. RefSeq lists it as uncharacterized. NCBI's taxonomy places the organism in Eukaryota, Viridiplantae, Streptophyta, Magnoliopsida, Poales, Poaceae. The transcript is spliced from 4 exons. The record is from RefSeq and is a predicted model, not a curated record.
AAGGGAGUUGGACCUCUUAAUUCCCCUUCCUCUUCCCAUCCUAACUACCAUUUACCUGAGCCAAUCAAAGGAAUUUAACUCCCAUAGACCUUAAACUUCCAUUCCCCAUUGGCAACUCCCUCCAAACAAACACGCUGUAUGGGUCUGCGGCGUACGAACCGCCGGUGACGGAGGCCGCUGUUGGGGUCGUGACGGGAGAUUCCCUGAGCUGUGGCUCGGGUCUGCCUUCUACUCCCGAUCCGUGGCUCAGGUUGGUGGAUCUCCGGUAGGGGCCGGUGGGCAGCGUAGUAAAUGACGAGUCAGAGGCAAAAAGUAGCUCUCCCUCUCUCAUCGCCAUUGACGCCCACUAAGGUCUGCGGCGGAAGGAAUACGCGGCGGCGAUUCCCGGAUGGAGUUCCUCAUGCAACCGAUUCGGAGGACCGCAGUGAUGGAGGAGGUGAACCACAACGAGCUACCAAUGGAGCCGCUGCCCUACCUAGCUGUGGCGACAGGAGCCGAAGAGCUGCCCCCAAUGGCCACAGGUAGCAUUGACGGGCAGGUUUGUGCGGCGUAUGUGCCAGCCGAUAGGCCAAAUUGAUCCAAAAACUCAUGGCUGGACUCGCAGGUAAUCUCUUCGCUAAUGGUGUUUGGAUUGAAGACUGUUUGUCUGAAUUUAGGUGUACUUCAAAUCGCAUGAACUGACUUGCAGAUAGGCUGGUCAGUUUUGCAGGAAGUUUUAGUUACAAACUUUGGAAUAAGUAGAUCCUGGAGAAAUUGUAAUAGUUAUAUACAGAUAUUUUUGGAAAUCCUGCAUGUUUUCCUCCUAGCCAGUGCUGAAGAUACUAGCACCAACGCAUGAUUAACAACAUGCAUAGCAGUGUUAGUCUGUUCUAUGGGUACUUGAUUCUGAUAUGAGAGAAUAAAUAUCAAAACUAAGCAGAAAACUUUUAUUACAAACUUAAAUCGUAAAACACAAAGAAUGUAGGAUGAACUAACAGCGAGUCUGUUCGAUAUGGGUGUUUUGAUUGUAUGCUGUUUUUCCAAUUUUAGGUGAACUUAGAAUUGCAUUAACUAAGUUGCAUAUAGGAUGAUCAGUUGUGCAAAUAGAUUCCAUUUAUAAAAAAGGCGUAGUGGAAUUAAAAUUGUUAUAUAUAUUAUGUGGAAUAACAGUGCUGGAGCUACUGGCACCCACCAGAUGAAUUAAAAAAAGCAUAAGACUGUUGGUUAGUUUUGUGGAUACUCGAUUCUGAUGAGGAAAUAAAUAUCAGAAUUCAGUUGGGAAGUUUUUGAAUUAAAGCUUAAUUUGAAAUUGGUAAAAUGGAAAGUAGAUGGCAUGUCAGUUUGGAAUGAUGUUCCCAAAUAUGAUACAGGUCAGCAGGCAUGCCGGAGUGAAGCAUAUGUGUUCCCUGGAAUAACAAGUACCCUGACUCGCCUAUUUCGUUUCUUUACCGCACAUCAUACGCCUAUUUCUAACUGCAUGUAUGUACUACCAAAAACAUACAAUGACUGGAUGAUCUUGUACUACAGUUAGGGCUGCAGGGGAGUCUUCGUGUGCAGCUAAUCUUCGAGGAGGUCAUGCAGCAGGAGGCACCCAGGCACCCAUGCUUCAGGUGCAUCAGGUGGCAAUGGCAGUCAAGAGUAUGUUAAUCCAAUAGGGAACAUCCAACCUGAGCAUCAAGUUUUGUAGUUGGGAAGGGCAACAAUCAGGGUGCUGAACGUAAUGUCAGAGGUUCAGGUGCUGAGUCGGGGUGGAUGAUGAGCAACUUAAGGCUGCAAAUAGGCAUCGUGAGGAUGUGAUGUAUUUCUGCGACAGAAUACUGACGUGCACAAGGAGGGAACUUGACAAGGAAGUUGGAAAAGCUAAUCGCUUGCAAUAAAUGAGAUUGGAGCCGCUGCAUGUUGAAGCAGCAUACUUGAACCUACUGCCAUUUAUGUUAGCAAGCCAAGCUCUCUGGUAAAGAACAGGUGUAGGAUUUUCCGAAAUUAAAUAUAUGAAGAUCGUGUGCACAUAUGAGGACAUAUUGAAAGUUUGUAAAAAAUGGCAAUAGUUUGAACCAUAUGUGGGCUAUCAAGUUUUGUUCAGCA